This is a long non-coding RNA of Cervus hanglu yarkandensis (Yarkand deer), 1674 nucleotides long. The record is from Ensembl. NCBI's taxonomy places the organism in Eukaryota, Metazoa, Chordata, Mammalia, Artiodactyla, Cervidae.
AUGCUGUCCCUUCUGGGAGCAACAAAGGCUGCUUGUGCCCCGCUGGGAGGCAGGGCAUCACCUCCAUCCUGGCACCUGGGCGCUCUGGGAUGUGGUGGAGGAAGUGGAGACACUUCUGCCUUUAUCUGCUGUGGUCUGGAGUGGGGGGCUUCCUCUCUCAGGCGUGGGAAGACUGUGAACAGGAAGAGUCUAGAAAGCCCGUUAGGGAGGCACCCAGUUCUUCAGGGCUUCAGAUGGAAGCUUGUUACCGAGAAGGACUGCGUGAGGCAGAGGUGUGGAGUCUUGCCCUGCGAGGCCUGGGAGGCGCUCAGGGUUCCUUCUCUAUACCCUCUGCCGCCAGCACCAGCUGCUGCUGGUCCACAAGCCACCUCGAAGUUCUUCCUUGUGUUCAGCGCCCACCUCUGCCGCCUCUCCCGACCACCUCAUCCAAGCAGGACCACGGAGUGGUGGCAGGGGUCACUUCAGACGCCCUCCAGGUCUCCAGCCCAGGGCCAGCAGACAGCUGUCCGGCUUCAGAGAUUGAAAACUGAAGGCUCCCCAAACAGCAGCCCCGGACUCACCCCCUCCUUAUAUGGAAGAGCAAUCACAGAAACUGGGGAAAGGAAAACAAACCUUCCAAGGAGAAAUUUCAUUCUAAUGACACCAUUCAUCAUUAGUUUUUUAAUUAGGAAAAGCUCCCGGAUGAGGCGGCUUUGCCAGCUCAUAGGGUUCUCAAUUUCCACGAGAACCAUUCUUGCCCGGAGGAUUAGUGGAGUUGGUGCUCACCAAGCCCAGACCUCCCUGCAGUGUCCAGUUUCGUUGGAAAAUAAUGCCGAUUCCCGGGUACAGUGGAAAACCCUUUCCUGGCAUCAUUCAUGGUCCCAGUGCUGGCCAGAAAGCUCCAAAACUCCUCUGCCUUAAAAAACUGCCCAACCCAACACCUGUCUUCCCCCCCAGGACUGGAGUAGGUGGAAACAAAACUAAUCCCAAGCUGCAGUGUUUGUUUCUAAAUAUUUUUGUAUUGUGUACAUUCUGUAUAUUUUUGUUGUAACAUAUUAUUUGAGCACAGAUUCCAUUAAAGAUUUUUUUUUCUUUAAGUCAUUGGUUAUACAGUUAUUCUCACCAGUUCCACCAGUUACCCAGGACGGGCUGGCAUUGGAGCCUGUUUCAUCUCGGUCUGGGUUAGGGUUGGGGAGGGAGGGAGAGUGGACCACGGUGGGGGUGGGUCUGUGAUGUCUGCCCUACGGAUGGGGCGUCCGUGCUCAGCACUGGUCUUCCCAGCUUGGUAGUUCUUGACCGUUCUUGAAUACAGUUCUUUUGAGUGGUUGAUGAAAGCUAUGAUUUUUCUUCCCAUAAAAAUGCACAGACAGACAAUUCUAUGUAUAAUUUAGAGGGAAAGGGCUGUGAAUAAGGAAACUCAUCUAGGGUUUCAGGUCAUGAACCUCUGUGCCAGCCGUCCUGGUGGGUGCCUGGCCUUCCCCUUCCACUCUUACACUGUACCCCGAUGAGAGCUUAAUAUUCUAUUAUUAUUGGAUGAGUCUCCUUCAAAAUAUCCUAAAUACUUCCUUCAUUACCCCAAUAGCCCAGUCUUUCGGUGUUUUUUUUUUCUUUGUUGUCAUGCAGGAUCUUAGUUCCCUGACUAGGGACUGAACCCAUGCCUUCUGCACUGGAAGCAUGGAGUCUUAACUGCUGGAC